CACACCGCCCGUCACAUCACGAAAGUCUGCUGUACCGGAAGCCGGUGGGCUAACCCGCAAGGGAGGCAACUGUCCAUGGUAUGGUCGGCGAUUGGGUG
This 98-nucleotide ribosomal RNA is filed under the name uncultured bacterium. RNAcentral's name for it is "partial 16S ribosomal RNA". The record is from RNAcentral.